GUUGUGCGAACCUUCCACGGUUUGUGCGACGCAGCUAACGCAUUAAGCACCCCGCCUGGGGAGUACGGUCGCAAGACUAAAACUCAAAGGAAUUGACGGGGGCCCGCACAAGCGCCGGAGCAUGCGGAUUAAUUCGAUGCAACGCGAAGAACCUUACCAAGACUUGACAUAUAGUAGAAAAGCGUAGAAAUACGCUCCCCGCAAGGCUGCUAUACAGGUGGUGCAUGGUUGUCGUCAGCUCGUGUCGUGAGAUGUUGGGUUAAGUCCCGCAACGAGCGCAACCCUCGUCCUAUGUUGCCAGCACGUAAUGGUGGGAACUCAUGGGAGACUGCCGGGGUCAACUCGGAGGAAGGUGGGGAUGACGUCAAAUCAUCAUGCCCCUUAUGUCUUGGGCUUCACGCAUGCUACAAUGGCCGAUACAAAGGGCUGCGAUACCGCAAGGUGGAGCGAAUCCCAUAAAGUCGGUCUCAGUUCGGAUUGGGGUCUGCAACUCGACCCCAUGAAGUCGGAGUCGCUAGUAAUCGUAGAUCAGCAACGCUACGGUGAAUACGUUCCCGGGCCUUGUACACACCGCCCGUCAAGUCACGAAGUCGGUAACACCCGAAGCCGGUGGCCUAACCGUAAGGAAGGAGCCGUCGAAG
This 641-nucleotide ribosomal RNA is filed under the name uncultured Actinomycetes bacterium. RNAcentral's name for it is "bacterial SSU rRNA". It matches the Rfam family "Bacterial small subunit ribosomal RNA", at positions 819 to 1461 of the family's 1533-position model. The record is from RNAcentral. Lineage: Bacteria; Bacillati; Actinomycetota; Actinomycetes.